GGGGAAUAUUGGACAAUGGGCGCAAGCCUGAUCCAGCCACGCCGCGUGAGUGAUGAAGGCCUUCGGGUCGUAAAGCUCUGUGGGGAGGGACGAACGGCGCCAUGAAGAGUGGCGAUUGACGGUACCUCCUUAGCAAGCACCGGCUAACUUCGUGCCAGCAGCCGCGGUAAUACGAAGGGUGCAAACGUUGCUCGGAAUCAUUGGGCGUAAAGCGCACGUAGGCGGCUUUCUAAGUCGGAUGUGAAAUCCCUCGGCUUAACCGAGGACGUGCAUCCGAAACUGGGAGGCCUGAGUAUGGAAGAGGGUCGCAGAAUUCCCGGUGUAGAGGUGAAAUUCGUAGAUAUCGGGAGGAAUACCAGUGGCGAAGGCGGCGACCUGGGCCAAUACUGACGCUGAGGUGCGAAAGCGUGGGGAGCAAAC
This 420-nucleotide ribosomal RNA is filed under the name uncultured bacterium. RNAcentral's name for it is "bacterial SSU rRNA". It matches the Rfam family "Bacterial small subunit ribosomal RNA", at positions 356 to 773 of the family's 1533-position model. The record is from RNAcentral.